CAGUAGCCGCGGGAAUACGUAGGGUGCGAGCGUUAAUCGGAAUUACUGGGCGUAAAGCGUGCGCAGGCGGUUGUGUAAGACAGGUGUGAAAUCCCCGGGCUUAACCUGGGAACUGCGCUUGUGACUGCACAGCUAGAGUAUGGCAGAGGGGGGUGGAAUUCCACGUGUAGCGGUGAAAUGCGUAGAGAUGUGGAGGAACACCGAUGGCGAAGGCAGCCCCCUGGGCCAAUACUGACGCUCAUGCACGAAAGCGUGGGGAGCAAACAGGAUUAGAUACCCCUGUAGUCCCUGUCUCUUAUAC
This 301-nucleotide ribosomal RNA is filed under the name uncultured bacterium. Its description in RNAcentral is "partial 16S ribosomal RNA". It matches the Rfam family "Bacterial small subunit ribosomal RNA", at positions 509 to 807 of the family's 1533-position model. The record is from RNAcentral.